Long non-coding RNA from Panthera uncia (snow leopard), 661 nucleotides. RefSeq lists it as uncharacterized. The record is from RefSeq and is a predicted model, not a curated record. The transcript is spliced from 5 exons. NCBI's taxonomy places the organism in Eukaryota, Metazoa, Chordata, Mammalia, Carnivora, Felidae.
GAUGAUAUUAGCAUUGGGUCUUUGACAUAUGGCUUGUAUGAUCUCGAGGUAUGAUUCUUCUAUCCCUACUUAAGAGUUUUUAUCAAGAAAGGAUGCUGUAUUUUGUCAAAUGCUUUCUCUGCAUCUGUUGAGAGGAUUAUGUGGUUCUUGUCCUUUCUUUUAUUGAUGUGAUGAAUCAUAUUGAUUGUUUUGCAGAUAUUGAACCAGCCCUGCAUCCCAGGUAUAAAUCCCACUUGGUCGUGCAGUCCAGAUUCAACCACAAUGCUAUCUUCUUUUUGAAACUUCAACGGACAUUCUUCUAACAAAGUCUCCACAAUGUAAACUCUAUGAGAACAGAGGCCUUGCAUUUCCAGUCUGGGACGAGUUGAGAAGAUGUGUCAAGAAAAAUCUCUUUCUAUACUCUGGCCUCCAGAGAAAGGGGAACACAGAAGAACUGGUACCUCCAAAGAUAGGAAGAACUGAAAGAAGGAAAGGAGGAGGGAAGAAAGUGGAGAGGAGAAGACAGAAGAGGAGGAAAAAGAGAGAAAAAGGAGGUAGGAAAAAAGGAAGGGAAGGAGGCACGGAAGAGAAGGAAAGGAAAAGAGAAAGAAGAGAAGGAAAGAAUAAAGGAAAGAAAGAGAGUCUACAAACUAAGGAGGGUUUUGUGGGAGAAAACGCUAGG